AUACUUGCCUGGCAGGGGAGACGCCAUGAUCAUGAAUGUGGUUCUCCCAGGGUGAAGCUCACCAUUGCACUCCAGAGGCGCAGCACCUGUUUUCCCCAAAUGAAAAAAAAAAAAGAAAGACAAGUUUGUCCUCCAUUGGAUCGACUUCAUUCUCCUCCUCC
This 161-nucleotide small nuclear RNA is filed under the name Callithrix jacchus (white-tufted-ear marmoset). Its description in RNAcentral is "U1 spliceosomal RNA (ENSCJAG00000032797.3)". It matches the Rfam family "U1 spliceosomal RNA". Rfam says of the family: U1 is a small nuclear RNA (snRNA) component of the spliceosome (involved in pre-mRNA splicing). Its 5' end forms complementary base pairs with the 5' splice junction, thus defining the 5' donor site of an intron. The record is from RNAcentral. Lineage: Eukaryota; Metazoa; Chordata; Mammalia; Primates; Cebidae.